CUUGGGUUUUUUUUGCAGUGACGGUUGAAAAACGGUAAUAUCGGCGUUAUACACCGUUGCCCGCUAAAUUGCGGGCACGACAGACCGCUACCAACGUGAAUCGAUUACCCACCGUUAAAUUCCUCAAUACCGGUUUCGGACGGUGGCGCGACCGUGAAAUACCGGCCGCUAUAGCGGUUUCGUUCCUCUAUUUGAUUAAUGUUAUCCGUGGGACUAGCAGCAGGUGGCUCUCUUCCUUCGAAGCUCCCUGGAACAUAUCCAGGAUCAAUCGGUUUCAAUUCAAACGGUUCUGUCUAUCUAGAUGGAAUGAAGCUUGUGUUUGGAUCAGAGAAAGAAGAACGGGGGAAAACAGAGAAUGUCAUAGGUUGCGGGUUCGAUUCCUGGCGGAAAGAAGUCUUUUUCACCUUGGACUCGAAUCUGGUACAUGAGCACAACUAAAGGAGGCCACAGCAAAGGGAUUAAGCGUUCAUCAACUGAAUUGGAAGAGGAGUCCGAUUUAUUCGAGAUCUCAUUGGAUAAUAAUGGAGGAGCCCCUAAUUCAGUUCUGUAGCCUACAAGACUGAUCGUUUCUUUCUUUUGGCAUUGAAUGAAGUUGUUGACUGUAUAGUUUUAAUAGGAGUUGAUAGAUUUCUUGUAUAGUUGAACCACUGCGACGUUUAGCAGCAGAUGACAUAAUCAUUUACAAUAACGUUUUGCCUUGGAAACGAAAUGUAACUUGAUGCAUCGUAUUGAAUUACAUUUGUUCAUUUUUG
This is an RNA transcript of Hibiscus syriacus, 752 nucleotides long. RefSeq lists it as uncharacterized. The record is from RefSeq and is a predicted model, not a curated record. NCBI's taxonomy places the organism in Eukaryota, Viridiplantae, Streptophyta, Magnoliopsida, Malvales, Malvaceae. The transcript is spliced from 3 exons.